CUUUUUUUUCUUUCUUGUAUUUCAGAUCAAAUGGGGAGCUUGUGGCCUUGUGCUGGCAGGCAAUGCUGUCAUUUUUCUUACAAUUCAAGGUUUUUUCCUGGUAUUUGGAAGAGGAGAUGAUUUUAGCUGGGAGCAAUGGUAGCACUUUAUUUUGAUAGAGAACAUUGUAUUCCUUAAGAUUUGUACUGUAUGUAUAUGUGUGUGCAUGUGGUGUUUUACUAUGGGAUUUAAUAUGCUGUUUUUUUUAUACCUUUAUAUCAUGAUCACUUUAAGGAAGACUUCCUAAGUAAAAGAUGAGUUUAAUUCCUAGAUAAUGGACCUCAGCUUUUACUGAAGUUGAAAUAUGUUAUUUGUUUGGCUGUUCACAUAGUUAUGUUCUCAGAAAACAUAUUAACACAGUCUUUUAGACAGCUGCUCAUUUAUACAGGCCAUCUAAACCUUUUGUGUGGAGGUGUGCUUAGAUAGGUGAAGACACUGAAGCAGGUCUUUUAUAGCUCAGAAACACUUGGCUCCCACUGUGUUGUAGACCCUUGCUUCUUAGAAUGUGGUCCAUAGACCAAGAACACCAGCAUCUCCUAGCUUAUUGGAAAUAUAAAAUCUGAAGCUCUCCUGCCCACCACCCAGACCCAGUGCAUUUUGAUGAGAUCCCAAGUGAAUCAUAUUCACAUUAGAGUUUGAGGAACUUUGUUAUAAACAUCACACCUAGCUUCCUUGUCUUCCCCUUGGAUCGAUCACUUACCCUCUCUGGGAGUCCUGCUCAUUUGUGGGAAAAAAAUUCCCUUAUGUUGAGGAGGAGUUCAGACUCUCUUUGGUGUUUGUGAACUGUUCCAAACUGUAAUAUAUGGGCAAUUUCCCAAAUUUGUGGAAAGUGUUUUCAGUGGGAAGCAAAGUCCUCACAUCAUCUGAAAGGCAGUGCCUUUUUCACAGUGCUAGGGCACAAAAUAACCCAAGCCCCAUUGGUAUGCAGGAGAGGAAGGCUGGGCUGGAACCAGCCCCUGCUUUAGUUAUGAGGAGAGAAGAAUAGAUAGGCAUCGCUUUUAAGUUUCCCUUAUUAGUCUUGCACUUCUUCCCAGCCCCUUCCUAAUGCUACCUUAUCCCAACUCCUCAGCAGUUCUGAUUUGCCAUUUCUUCUUGAUGGCUCUGCCCUUCUCCUUUCUAAAGAAAUAUUGGAGCCAAGUGAGCAAGCCAAAAGCAAACUGCUGGAGUUUAUUUACAUGUUGAUGUACUUAAUGGUACUUCAUUCAGAACUUUACUCCACCUUUAAAUAAAUCAUUGGAAAUAAAUGUCAUAUUGUAUCUUAUGAUCAUAGUUUUUCUAACUCAUCUUUUUGUCCAAGACCCAUUGAGAAAAGAAAAUAUAAGAAAUAGAACCAUUUGAUAAGAAGAAAGCCAGUGGUUUUUAAACAUUAAUGUGGUUGUUGAUAUAUGUACAAAGCACUUCCAUCUUGAGGUUUGUGAUGUUAGUAACCAGCACACCCUUUGUGUGUUGGUGUGAUAUUGGAACCAGAAGAGAAAAGUGAUAUCUAAAAGAAUAAUGUGCAAUGUUGGUUUUUGGCCUUGUAUGUGAUUUUAUGUUUUUUAAUAUUCUGUGUACAUAUAGAAUUGUUGAAGUUAUUUGCAAUAUUUA
Molecule: long non-coding RNA, 1626 nt
Filed under: Marmota monax (woodchuck)
Lineage: Eukaryota; Metazoa; Chordata; Mammalia; Rodentia; Sciuridae
Source: RNAcentral